AGCAAAAAUCAAUACAAUAGAAAGAACUGCCGUAAACUAUAUUAAUAUUAAUAAUCAGAAUUGUAAUGUAGUGAAAAGGACAAAAAACAAAGACGUUGCAGGACCAUAAGACGUCAAGUUACAUAGCACCGAAAUCGUAAACGGAAAUAUUGCCGCUUUGCAUUAGGAUUGCUUAUCAGUGCUGUGCUUGGCAACCAUUUGUGCGUUAAACCAGGUGGAGUCGGGCAUAACUCGCAUUGCGUACUUGGUUGCGCCUUUUGGAGCCAAGAUUGGUUAUGUGACCGCCUCGCUCACCUUAAAUGUGCUGUGAUCACAGGUAGACCUACGGAUGCUGCUGGGAAUUUCUCGGAAAAUCUACGGUUGUCAUGUCCCGACUGUUGGCAAAAAAAGAGACUUGUUUGAGUUAGUUGGACUUCUGGGAUUGUCCUCGAAAUGAGACAGGCCUGGUGUGGCCACCCCCUCCGGGGACAUUGGAUCGGCCUCAACCUU
Glossina fuscipes is the source of this 489-nucleotide long non-coding RNA. RefSeq lists it as uncharacterized. The record is from RefSeq and is a predicted model, not a curated record. NCBI's taxonomy places the organism in Eukaryota, Metazoa, Arthropoda, Insecta, Diptera, Glossinidae. The transcript has 3 exons.